Lolium rigidum is the source of this 339-nucleotide long non-coding RNA. RefSeq lists it as uncharacterized. The record is from RefSeq and is a predicted model, not a curated record. The transcript has 5 exons. Lineage: Eukaryota; Viridiplantae; Streptophyta; Magnoliopsida; Poales; Poaceae.
UGGAGGAGGCGUCGAGCUGUAGGCUCAAAGAGGAUCUACAUAAAUUAUUUACGCCUCUCACAAAUGAAGAUGAAACUUUAGUAGACAGCUCAUGUAUGGUAGUGGUCACAGUAAAAAAAAUAUUAGUACUGCAUGAGCCUUCAAAGAUCGAGAUUACCAGAGAGAAAUUAGGGUGCUUGAGGCCUCGUGGUUGGUUAAACGAUGAGAUCAUCAAUUUGUACCUAGAAUUGUUAAAGGAGAGGGCAAAAAGAGAACCCACAAGAUUUUUAAAAUGCCACUUCUUUAACACAUUCUUCUAUAAGAAGCUAUGAAGGCAACAUGGACCUCCAAAUAGGGAAG